GAGAGUGAGAUUGGAGAGGAGGACACAGGCACUCCAAACCCUGUCUGUGCUUGGUAUAUUAGGCAGCCAGUGCUCUUGGCUGUGAGCCCAGACGAGGCUUUUGUAAUCAAAACAUGAUCUUGUAUGCUGUGCAACCAGUGCUGAGAAAGGCCGUCUGAUGGCUCUCCUCUUUUAGCUCUGCUCUGGAAUCCGCCGGGCUGCGCCGAUGUCCAACAUGCACCGAGCUGAUGCUGCUGUGGAUGAUGUUGUGUUAAGGAAGAAAGAGCAGAAAGAUGUUGAACUCGAUAAGAAAAUCUUGGCCUUGCGGAAGAAGAAUGAAGCGCUGAUCCGAAGGUACCAGGAAAUAGAAGAGGACAAAAAGCGAGCAGAGCAGGAGGGAAUGGCUGUUACCUCCAGGAGGCCCAAGCAGGAUGGACUCACUAUUACCAUCACCAAAGCUCACAACGACCUGAAAGAUGCAAUUACCCAGACUGAACACUAUGGACAAGAUAGCCCAGCCCUCCCGAUGGACAAAAGGGUGGUGAGUGAGAAAUGGGCAAGCCCCUGUUCUGCGAGCCCUGGAUUCGGCAUUGGCAGUGAGGAGGAGGAGGAGGAGGAGGAAGCAGAUCAUAUGUUCACAUUCAGGAUGGGGAAGAGGAUGCAGCUGGCUGUUACCAUGGACAACAAAGCAAAGGGCAAGCGGAUUGUCAGCGAGAAACGUGCCGAGAGCUUCCCCGGCCAGGGCCGGGUGCCGGAGCUGGGCGAGGACGACACGGACCACUUGGUGGCUUUCCGGCGGGGCAGGAGGAUGCAGAUUGCCAUCACCAUGGAUAACAAGGAAAAGGCAGAGGAGCGGAGAACAGCAGAGAAGAGGAGAUCAGACAGUGACAGAGGCCCAGAAAGUGAGCACAGCCGGAAGGAUGGUGGGAAGUCAGUGCAGAAGAGCCCUGGAGACCUGAGUUUCCCCAUGACUGGCCGGGAACGCUCGGAGUACAUGCGCUGGAAGAGGGAGAGGGAGCAGAUUGACCUGGAGCGCCUGGCACGGCACAAGAACGCCAAGGGCGAGUGGCGGCGGGCGUGGGAUGUGGAGAAGUCGGAGCACAUGUUUGAAGAGGACUUUGUUAAGGAUGGGGAGCCAGCCUUGGAUAAUCCCAGCAAUAAGAAAGGGGGAAGAAAUGCAAGGAAAUUUCAGCACAGGUCCUUUCCUGCCGAUGGCAGAGGUGGAGGACACCACGGGGUGAAUGUGAGCGACCCUGGCCCAAAGGCAGUGCCCGCCGUGAGCAGCCGUGCCAAGGGGAAGGACAGACUGACGGGCAGAGCCAGAAGGUGGGAUGCAAAAGAAGGCGAGGACAUGUCUUUUCUGAAGGAUGACCUUGAUGGCCAGAGGAGCCUCGGUGUGGACAAGCGGAAGAGCAGAGGAGAGGAGGGGAUGGAGGAGAACUGCACAGCUGAGCAGGAGGAGAAGGGGAAGCAGCCAAGCCUCCAGGAUCACGGGGCCUCCUUGGCCCAGCGGCUCCGAAGGGAAGGCGGGAAGGUCCAUCCUGCCCACAACGGGCAGAAGGAGGAGCGGAGGGGGUUGAAGGGCUGCAGCACAGAGGUGUCUGUGACCAGCACAGGGGACUCAGAGCCAGGGCCCAAGUCAAGCAAGGAAAGUGUUGGGGAAGAUGCCAGUGGGAAGCCUGGCACUGCUGACACCUCCCAGAAGGAGAGCACUGGCAGCACCGCUUCUCCAAGCAGCCUUCCAAGCACUGUGCCAGCCACCAGUGAGGAGACUUUGUCCCUGCCCGUGGGAGCGAAUGUAGAUGGAGCUGGAUCAGAGAAAAACCCAGUUUCACAACAGGAGUCCUCCCAGAACUCCUCAAACUGCCACGGAGAACAGCUGGACACGGCAGCAGGAGACAGACUGGAUGCAGAUCAGGGACAGCUGGUGAGCAGAGGAGGGGAGGAAGUGACCCAAAGCACUGCCCUGGAGGGGCAGGCACUUGCACUGAAAAGAGGAGAAGAUGCUGAAGGCACUGAACACCAGGAGCCUUUGCCUCCAGGGAAAGCCAGCUCUGACAAGACUGUUGUGCCUGAGCAGGACCCAGCAAAGGCCCAGUCCGGGGAAGGGGACCAGCCUGAGGACUACAAGGACAAGGACACUGGGGAUGCCCUCAACUAGCACAGGUUGCACCGGCUUGCCUGAGACAGGAUAACAUGCUGGAGGCGGUGGAGGAGAAGAGAAGAGGAGCACAAGCUUGUCCUCGCUCUUUUACCUUCUAUGAAAUCAGCUUUCAGCACCUGCCCUGUGCCCAGCACCACCCCACUCACAGUUCUGGCAUCCCCCUUCCCUCUUCGUGUGCCAGAGGACAGGGAAGGGUGCCCACACUCACACCCUACAGCAAAACACCAUCACUUAUCUCUUUAUUUGUUUGGCCUAUAUUGCAGCUGUGUGGCAAGCCAAGGAAAUGUCUAUUGGAUGCACUUUAUUUUAUUUAAUGACUAAUUCUGUGUAGAGUUAAGGUUUGGGUUUCUGGGCAUGCCCCCUGUUUCCUGCCCUGGAGGUUGGAGGGACCUGCCCGUGUCAGGGCUGUGCCAAUGCCUGGAGCAGCAGGAAGGGGUGGCUUGUGAGGGUGUAGUUCAUAGGUGGGUGCAGAAAUAGCAUUCAGAGCUCUGGUACUAGAGGUUUGCACGUGGUUGAAGUGUUGGCAGAGGUGUGCAGUAGUGGCAGGGCUGUGGAUGGACAGAUGGAUGGAGCACAGCCGUGGGGCACAGAGCUCCAUGUGCCAAGCACAGAUCCCCCCAGCACCUCCUCCCUGAACAGCCUCCAGCUCUCCCCUGCCAGAGGCUGAGAGCACAUCAGGACACUGCUGUGUGCCAAGGAAGGGGGCUCGUGGGCUGAGCAGGGGUGUGCACAGCUCAGCAAACGCUGCCCAGGGGCACUGGGAACUGGGCACCCCUGCAGCAGGGCAGGGAGGGGGAGAGCACAACUCGACAACCUCCUCCACACUGCCCAAAGCAGAGCCAGCAGGACCCAGGCCUGACUGGACCUGGAGGUCCAAGACUUCCUAUCAGCUUUCACCUUCCCGGUUGUGCCUUCUGUAGCCUUGUGCUUGAAUUAAGAGGGCAGGAGUCCCCUGGAAGCUGCUCUGCAGACCUUCUGAGCUGGCCUUAAAGACACCUUUCAAGUGCAGGUGCUGGAGGAGCAUUUACAAGCACAAACGUGCAGCAAUUCCAGCUGUUUGGAUUUCCAGUCACAGCAAGCUGGGACCUAGCUGGAAUACAGCUACCAGUUAAGGAGAAAGCACAAGGGAUAACACAGCAGGAUUUCUGACACGGGAAUCACACAGCAGAGAGGGCAUUGCCUUGGAGGCGCUGACACCAGAGUAAAGUCCCUGAGCCCAGUGUGUGGAGACUGCCUGGAAUGCCCUGCAGGACCUGCUCUGGCCAGGCUGCCAAACUGCCCUGGAGACCAGGCUGUGUCACACGGAGAGUCACAAGCGCAGCAACGGGCUCAUCACAGGCUGGCAGCAGCAUCCUGACGGGAACAUGGCUGUCUCCAUGCCUGGCUAGGGAAAGGAUGGGGAACAGAUUGUAGCUGAAGAAUCUGGGCCUGAAGAAUCACCUGAGCUGCCUGGCCCUGUAGGCUGGCAUCCCAGGAUCCUCCUGCAUCUCCCCCAGGCCGCCUCCCCUCCCUGGCUCAGUACAACCGUAGUAAGGCCAUGGGAUGCUCCAAAGCCAGUUGUAACAGGUACAGAAAUAGCAGCAUUUCACUAAGAUCUGUUUGUCAGCAGAGGAGAAGAUGCAAAAACACAGUCUGGGAACUCAUCAAGCCUGCACUUUCCUCCAGGAAUGUAGACAGCCACAACCAUCCUCGUACUGGCUCAUCAACUAUUUUUAGCAGCAGCAAGGGAGGCAGCCAUCAGGAAAGGGCCUGUUCCCUUUGAUCCACGGAUCUGAGCACUGUCUCAGAGAUCCCCUGCCCCAAAACCCACAAACCAGGUAAAGAGUUGUAGGUUGUUCCUGCUCCCAAGUACGAGGUGUCUCUCGGCAGUUCCACGGCAGGUUGGAAGAGGGCCACGCAGCCCAUUUCAUUCCACUCACUUCCUCUCCCUCCCGCGCCACACAGACAGGCUCGAUGAGUCUUCUGAGAGCAAUUGGAGUUAAAGUGAAGGAUGCCAGGGGGCCCUGGAAACCAGCACAUGUUGGAUGUACCACUCAGAGCCACUACAGAGCGACCAAGCUGCAGGCCAGGAGCAGAGAAAUACCAGGAUCUGUGUCAUCCCACCCAGCUUUAUUUAUCUCUGAAGAUUUUAUGAGAUAAACGUAAGCUCCUUCUCAGAGACACUUCCCAACUGGUAAUGUGUUUAGCACCCGAGCCAAGGAACAGCCUAAACUGAACUGGCACGACAAUGAGCCUGGCUUGUUUCUCUGUCACUCAUUCCUCCCUCGGGGAGCUGCAGAAGCCUUCCCCUGCAACCAGAGGUGUAUCCCAAGGACAGCAAAUGACACCACUGUCACCAGGACCCAGAGCUACUGCAGGUGUGUGCAGUCCCAUGGACAGGGAUGAACACACUACCGGCAGAGUCAGCAGGGAACCAAAGCCACUCACACAACAGACACCGUGGGGUAUCCAGGAGCUGCUGCUGCCCUGGGACAGCUCAGCCUUCUGCUGCCACAGAUGUUCGGCCUCCAGCCCGUCCACCUGCCCCGCAGGAGGGUGGCACUGAUCCCAUUUUGGCUGAGGUGACUAAGCGGGAUCGUUUUGUCCUCCCCACCAGCUUUCUGUUCUAACAUCACACAGCCUUCCCUGCACGCUCCGCAGAGAACUGCCAAGGAGGCUCAAAAGAAGAUCCCAAAGCACUCUCUCCCUGCAAGCUCCUGCUUCUACCUUCCACAGACACUGUAAAGAUAAUGCCCAACUGGCACAGCCGUAACACAGCACCACAGCCUCCCCCAAACACCCUGAUUUCAGUAUGAAACAGCUCUUUUCAAACACCAAGUGCCAUGUUUUAUGGUACCUUCGUGAUCUGCACAACUGAAAUGCGUAUGCUGCGUUACAGCACAUCUUAUCCCUCAGCAGAGGGGAUCUGAACUGCUAGGAUUGUUUCACAGGGAUGCAGCACAGCCUGGCAGCCUCACUGAUUCAGCCAAAUCCAUCCACCUGGAAAGCAGCAGCCUGGAACAACACAGCUCUUAUGGUUUCCUAGUUGAUAUCCCACAUCAUUAAAGAGUCAUUAAAGGCCAUGUUUUUGCUCAAGGAAUAGAACAUUUCUGAAGACUACAGGGCAGGCAAACACUGGGAGGAGAGGCUGCCCAGGGCACAUCAGGAACUGCCCGGCCCAGACCUGCCCUGGCUCCGGGUGCCCCCAGGGCACAGGGAUGAUCCAUAAGCACUGCCACCCCUGGCAGGCAGGAGGGCCACAGCUCGGAGCCCACCACCACAGCUCCACCUGCUCUGCCAGCACAGAUCCAACCUUUCCAGCACCACCGCUUCCUUUCCACGAUCAGCAGGAUUUAGGCAGGUUUCUCCAGCCUCGCCUACAGAGAUCAACGACAAAUGAAUCAACAUCAUAUACCACAGUUCCCAUUGCA
Molecule: RNA transcript, 5553 nt
Organism: Myiozetetes cayanensis
Lineage: Eukaryota; Metazoa; Chordata; Aves; Passeriformes; Tyrannidae
Gene: CCDC9B
Gene name: coiled-coil domain containing 9B
Exons: 15
Source: RefSeq, a predicted model, not a curated record